RNAcentral lists this ribosomal RNA (382 nucleotides) under uncultured marine Chaetocerotaceae. RNAcentral's name for it is "SSU rRNA". It matches the Rfam family "Eukaryotic small subunit ribosomal RNA", at positions 587 to 972 of the family's 1831-position model. The record is from RNAcentral. Lineage: Eukaryota; Bacillariophyta; Thalassiosirophyceae; Chaetocerotales; Chaetocerotaceae.
AGCUUCAGUAGCGUAUAUUAAAGUUGUUGCAGUUAAAAAGCUCGUAGUCGCAUUUCUGGCGAGAGGAUCCGGUCCGACCUUUUGGUGGGUUCUUGGGUCUCUUUCGCCAUCCUUGAGUGGUCCGUUCUGGCAUUAGGUUGUCGGAGCGUCAAACGCUCAUCGUUUACUGUGAGAAAAUUAGAGUGUUCAAAGCAGGCUUAUGCCGUUGAAUAUAUUAGCAUGGAAUAAUAAGAUAGGACCUCGGUACUAUUUUGUUGGUUUGCGCACCAAGGUAAUGAUGAACAGGGACAGUUGGGGGUAUUUGUAUUUCGUUGUCAGAGGUGAAAUUCUUAGAUUUACGAAAGACAAACUACUGCGAAAGCAUUUACCAAGGAUGUUUUCA